GACGAACGCUGGCGGCGCGCCUAACACAUGCAAGUCGAACGGAGCUUAGAGAGCUUGCUUUUUAAGCUUAGUGGCGAACGGGUGAGUAACGCGUGAGUAACCUGCCCUAGAGUGGGGGACAACAGUUGGAAACGACUGCUAAUACCGCAUAAGCCCACGGUGCCGCAUGGUACUGAGGGAAAAGGAUUUAUUCGCUUUAGGAUGGACUCGCGUCCAAUUAGCUAGUUGGUGAGGUAACGGCCCACCAAGGCGACGAUUGGUAGCCGGACUGAGAGGUUGAACGGCCACAUUGGGACUGAGACACGGCCCAGACUCCUACGGGAGGCAGCAGUGGGGGAUAUUGCACAAUGGGGGAAACCCUGAUGCAGCGACGCCGCGUGGAGGAAGAAGGUUUUCGGAUUGUAAACUCCUGUCGUUAGGG
This 421-nucleotide ribosomal RNA is filed under the name uncultured bacterium. RNAcentral describes it as "bacterial SSU rRNA". It matches the Rfam family "Bacterial small subunit ribosomal RNA", at positions 28 to 444 of the family's 1533-position model. The record is from RNAcentral.